This 481-nucleotide ribosomal RNA is filed under the name uncultured bacterium. RNAcentral's name for it is "bacterial SSU rRNA". It matches the Rfam family "Bacterial small subunit ribosomal RNA", at positions 28 to 517 of the family's 1533-position model. The record is from RNAcentral.
GAUGAACGCUGGCUACAGGCCUAACACAUGCAAGUCGAGGGGCAGCAUGGACUUAGCUUGCUAAGUCUGAUGGCGACCGGCGCACGGGUGAGUAACGCGUAUCCAACCUGCCCAUAUCCCGGGCAUAACCUUGCGAAAGGCGGAUUAAUACCGUAUGCUGUCAUCAAGAUGCAUAUAUUGAUGACGAAAGGACUGGCGGUAUGGGAUGGGGAUGCGUCUGAUUAGCUGGUUGGUGGGGCAACGGCCUACCAAGGCGACGAUCAGUAGCCGGUCUGAGAGGAUGAACGGCCACAUUGGAACUGAGACACGGUCCAGACUCCUACGGGAGGCAGCAGUGGGGAAUAUUGGACAAUGGGCGAAAGCCUGAUCCAGCAAUGCCGCGUGAGUGAUGAAGGCCUUAGGGUUGUAAAGCUCUUUUACCCGGGAAGAUAAUGACUGUACCGGGAGGAAUAAGCCCCGGCUAACUCCGUGCCAGCAGCCG